UGUGGUUCUCCACCAGCUGUUUGAGCUGACAAACACCAUCCUGGGACUCAGCAAGCCUGGAGGUCAGUGUCUGGUUCUCCUUCUCCCUGGACAUCACCAGUUCCUGCAGGGCCUCACGCUCUGCACGAUUCUCCCGUGCCUAAUGGGUGGAUGGACAGCAUGAAACAUGGCCGAUACUAGCUGACAUGAAGAAACACCCUCCACCUGUGGCAGCGACUCAAACUCAUCCUGGGUGGAGUGGAAGGAGGAGUUGGAGGCCAUGCUGUUUGGACGACUGCUGUCCUUCAGGUCCUCGCUGCCUUGGAUGGACGGAUGUUUCUGUAAGGGAUUGAGAAAUAAAAAAGUGUGGUUAUUCAUUACAUUGGGACGACCAAAAAGCUGCAAUUUCUCGUUUUUUUUAUGUUUAAAAAAUAAUUAUGAAUUAUUUUCUUUAGCCUAUUAAUUAUCAUGAAAAUAUGCAUGAACACCAUUUUAUUUUGUUGUUAUGGCAGAGUGGUUUGUUUCAUAAUUUUCAUCACUGUAUUCUAUGCUUUUAAUCGUUAAUUAAAGCACUGAGGUCAACAUUUAUUGUUUUUAACUGUGCUUUAUAAAUAAAUAUGACCUAUUCAUUGCAGCACUAAUAAGUAAAUCACUGCAUAUAACAGAAAUAUAUUUGUGAAAAUAUGGAAUUGUGUGUUACAUCAUUACGUCCAUCAUAUGUUAAUGUGACUUUUUAGUAAAUUGAUAUUCAAAACGCUACAUUUGAUUAUAUUUUAUUUUUUCUUAGGUUAGAUUUAGGUCAUAGUUCAAUUAGUCUGCAAGUGUCAUUUUUCAAGCAAAAGUGAAUUUUUCUGACACUGAAAUGCUACUUUUACUGAUUAUUUCAGCAGCUAUUAUUAUAUAACUCCAUUAUUUGUACCUAGCCUUGUUUUAUCUUAAUAAAAACUACUUCAGAAAAGUCUUCUGGGACUU
Centropristis striata (black sea bass) is the source of this 951-nucleotide long non-coding RNA. RefSeq lists it as uncharacterized. NCBI's taxonomy places the organism in Eukaryota, Metazoa, Chordata, Actinopteri, Perciformes, Serranidae. The record is from RefSeq and is a predicted model, not a curated record. The transcript has 3 exons.